UGAGAAGAGAAGGGCACGGUAGAAAAAGGAUUCACAAUGAGACAGACUGUAAGGAAGAAAGUAAAUUAAUUUGUUAGUUAGGCAUGGAGACAGAAACCCAUCAAAGCUCAUACAUUGGAGACAAUAUUCAGUUUGCAGUAAAAGUCUUGAAACAAGACAGAUCAAAAGAGCAGGAAAACGAAAUGGAGAAAGAAAUGCCCUGACUUGAAUGAGAAGUGUCGUGAGGCUGAAUGCCUUACAAAGACGGUCACUGGAAGACAAGAGCAAAUCAUUCCAACCAUGUCUCUGCCUCUGAUAUGCAACCUUCUGCUGGAGAUGGAGCACAGAAACAAUGCAGCCAGUUCUUCAACCAGGAACAGAAGACGGGACUACCGAAGAUGAUAUUCUGAUACUUGGAUCAGUCUGGGGAGACUGGCUGUGUGCUCCAGACAGAGCACAUCAUCACCUUAGUGUGCUGUACAUUUUUAUAUACAUAAUAUCAUUUUUAGAAUCCUACAGUGUGGAAACAGGCCCUUUGGCCCAACAAGACUGCACUGACACAGAGCAUCCCAUGCAGACCCAGCCCCCUAAUCUACACAUCCCUAAACACUAUGUGCAAUUUACCAUGGCCAAUCCACCUAACCUGCAUAUUUUAGGAUGGUGGAAGGAAACUGGAGCACCGGGAGGAAACCCAUGCAGACAUGGAGAGAAAGUGCAAAUUCCACACAGACAGUCACCCAAGGGUGGAAUUGAACCUGGAUCCCUGGUGCUGAGAGGCAGCAGUGCUAACCAUUGAGCCACUGUGCCGUCUCUAUAGUUAUAGUACAGCAGGAUGCUAUUUAAUCCGUCAUUUCUAUGCUAGUUCAAUUUGUUAGAAUAGUAUCAAUGAUGAUUGUUUUCCCGACAGCACAAAUGGUAAUGAGGAGAUCUAAUAAAAUUAUUCCACAUUACAAACUUUUGAACCUUUUAUUGAAAAUCACACAGUCUUAAUUUCCAUUAAACAUCUGGGAAUUAGUCAUUACUUUUUUUAUCUUGCCAAUGCAGGCUGCACCUGGAAAGUUUAGAAAUGUGCAUUCUCCUUCCAUCAACAACACCACAGUGGAUCUGCUGGCACUGUCUGUGAUAAUUAUUACAUUGCAGUAAGAACUGGAAUCUGUCUCCCAUGCUUUGUGCAGGCAAUGGAAGUUAAAGUGAUGAUAAAAGAAAUUUAUCAUGAAGGGAUUUAGAAGGUUGUAAACAUUCUUCACUUUUGCCCUGAAGAACAGCUGGAAUUUUGGAGCUGGCUGGAAGAUUAUGACUAUAAUUAUGCAAACUAAACAAAAUGCAACCUUCUUCUAGGGGACAAAAUGUCCGACCCAUGAAAGAGCCAUUUAUUAAUCAUAUGUCAUGCUGAGUCACUCAUUGCGUGAUCCCUGUGGGUCAUCACUGUCGGCACACUUGUUGGCAAGGAAAUAUCACUUGAUUAUGACAAAAAUAAGGUUGAUUAUCUAAUGUAACUGAUGACUCAUGGUUUUGUAGAGUAUCGCAUCAUGAUCAAUAGAGCAUUAGGUAGUUUACAUCAAUCUAAAUGAGUGAUAGAAAAGUCAUCACAAUAGAUUCAGAGAUAAUGGGAACUGCAGAUGCUGGAGAAUUCCAAGAUAACAA
Long non-coding RNA from Stegostoma tigrinum, 1623 nucleotides. RefSeq lists it as uncharacterized. The transcript has 3 exons. NCBI's taxonomy places the organism in Eukaryota, Metazoa, Chordata, Chondrichthyes, Orectolobiformes, Stegostomatidae. The record is from RefSeq and is a predicted model, not a curated record.